Molecule: transfer RNA, 57 nt
Filed under: Schistocephalus solidus
Lineage: Eukaryota; Metazoa; Platyhelminthes; Cestoda; Diphyllobothriidea; Diphyllobothriidae
Rfam family: tRNA
About the family: Transfer RNA (tRNA) molecules are approximately 80 nucleotides in length. Their secondary structure includes four short double-helical elements and three loops (D, anti-codon, and T loops).
Source: Rfam by way of RNAcentral
GAGCCCGUGGCUCAAUGUUUAGAGCGUUUGAUUUCUGAUCAACGGGCCGCAGGUUCA